UUUAGGGCUUUAUACUGGUCUCUGUACAGAUCUCUUGGUCUCGAAAUCUUUGCCCUUUAGAACUCAAGCAAAGCACAAGACAGAACUGAAGCAGAAGAAACAGGCAAAACAGGAACAGAGGAUACAGAAGCAGACAAGGGAGCCGUAUUGGGGGCUGGCGCAGCAGCCUCAGGGAACAGAGUAGUUUCAAAAGUGACUCCCGGCAUAGGAAGAUAAGUUCAGGAAGUUUAAUGCCCGAAAUGUAAAUGUAAGUAAGUACUUACAUUUCGGGCAUUUUAAAAAUGGUCCUAUCCAGAGCGACUUACAAAAGUGCUUUGUCAGUUACUCACAGAUCAUUUGCUGUACUUCUAUUCAGAAACAUACAGAAAUAUACAGAAGAGACAGGUUUACUCUCUUGCCAGUAGGUAUUUUCCUCCAUCCUCAAGAUGAGCCAAGGCCAGGAGGUGCAUAUGCUGAAGGACUGUAUGCCAACGCAGACACAUAUGCAUAUGCCUUUACUGACAAACCAGGACAACGCAUCCCAAAAGCUGGAGCCGUAGCUGAAGCUGGAAUAUGACGAGCUGGAGCAGCGUGGAGCAUCUUUGAAGCUGAAGCCAAAGGGCCAAACGCUUCUACAGCUGCUCAGGCUAAUGUCCUGGAAGCGAGUGCCAUGGCUUGGGCUGAGGGCUGAGGUUGCAAGUGCAUCAGCUGGUCCACUUAGACUGAUCGCUGGUCUGGGAGUGGACACAGGUGUAAGAGUUGGGCUUGUGGGAGCAGAAGUUAAGUUCUUGGGUACUGGUAUUAAAGUUGGUGAUACUGGUGUUGGGGUUUCAGUGCUUGGAAGUGAAGUA
Molecule: long non-coding RNA, 830 nt
Organism: Electrophorus electricus (electric eel)
Lineage: Eukaryota; Metazoa; Chordata; Actinopteri; Gymnotiformes; Gymnotidae
Source: RefSeq, a predicted model, not a curated record